GGGUGUGAAGGUGCUCUAGCUGUGACAUCUGUUUUUCACUGAUCAUAAGGGUUGACUUGGCUGUUCUGGUUGGCCAGAUGCGUGUUCCCUUCCUGUCUCACCACUUCAUGUUUGUCCUUCCUAAAGCUGUGCAGUCAGGAUAUAAGAGAAAAUGUGCUCUCCUACUAGAACCUCCAAACAAGCACUCAACACCCAUUUGUAGGAGAACGUAGGGUAUUCAAGCUUUCAAGACUCCAGACAUACCCAAAUGAGGCACUGCAUGCGGCAGCCUGCCUUUCUUA
RNAcentral lists this small nuclear RNA (281 nucleotides) under Oryctolagus cuniculus (rabbit). Its description in RNAcentral is "7SK RNA". It matches the Rfam family "7SK RNA". From Rfam's summary of the family: 7SK was discovered as an abundant small nuclear RNA in the mid-70s but a possible function has only recently been suggested. Two independent studies have found that 7SK RNA binds the CDK9/cyclin T complex (known as elongation factor P-TEFb). The record is from Rfam by way of RNAcentral. Lineage: Eukaryota; Metazoa; Chordata; Mammalia; Lagomorpha; Leporidae.